Mya arenaria is the source of this 3125-nucleotide long non-coding RNA. RefSeq lists it as uncharacterized. Lineage: Eukaryota; Metazoa; Mollusca; Bivalvia; Myida; Myidae. The transcript is spliced from 3 exons. The record is from RefSeq and is a predicted model, not a curated record.
CCUAUAGUAGUAUGUAACCUUUCAUUAGUCGAUUAAAUUUAAUGUUAGAAGUGAGCAUAUACGGAAGUAGAUGUAAUAUAUGCUGAGAAGCGAGUAAAUUGUUAUUUUUUUAAAGUUUCUCAAUGACUGUACAGUGGGCUUUAUUGCUUUUUCGGAAACGGAUAAUAAAAACACAUAUCUGACGCAGUUUAGCAUUAAAACUGCGUUAGAUUUCACAAAAGUGAGAAAGCCGAUGUGAUACGAGAAAUCAGGAUACAGAUUUGCAGCGUGGCUGUUUGGCAGCGUGAAUAUAGUAGCCUAACAGCGUGGCAGUUUGGAGGCAGUCUGGAAGCAUGACAGCCUAGCAGACAGGCAGCUUGAACUUACCAGCAUGACAGCUUGGUAGCCAGGCAGCAUGAUAAUAUCAGCAUGGAAGCUUGAACUUAGCAGAGCAAGAGGUUUAAAAAAAGACUAAGAGUACGGAGAAUGUUAUAAAAAGUUUAAUUGUACAUGGACAUGUUGUUCAAUGCAUAGUAGGGGGUUCAACUACAACAUUUAUAUUUUAGAUGAAUCAUAUAUGCCGGAGAAUAAAGAUUGCAUUAUCAAAAAGUUACCUUGGUGAAACCUGACCUCUACAUUUCAAUAAAAAGUCUGCGUUAUCUAUUUUACAAGUUCUUCUAGAUUGUUUGCAUACUACUCCACGCGAUAAAAUAGAACAGCAAGGACAUUUGUGCAGGCUUUGUCACUCUGAACAUGUUUUCUUGUAACCGAAGAACAUUUAUUUUAUGAAAGGAUCUGUAAUUAUAUUUUGCUGACAUUAAAAUGCAGUAAAAAACCUUCUGUUUAAUAGAGACUCAAGAAAGAUAACACCUAGACCUAGUAUGCAUAAAUCAUAUGUGGAAAAUAACCAGUCAGACUAAUGUUAACCUCGUUAGUCGUAUAUCUUAAAUAAGGUUUUUGAUUAAUUGCCUCUCUCCAGGACGUUCAUGUCAACAAUUCGUAGUCAAAUGGACGAUGUCGGAAGAUGUUAUCUUCAGUAAGUGUAGGACGAACAAAAGAUAUUCCUCCACUCUUUAUUUUGUCAAGUGUAUGAAUAAAUCAUUAGUUAUAAAACUGUACCACAUUUACCGUAUAUGCAAAACAUACCAGUAUUUGGAAUAUUUAUCAAAUUUGAAAACAAUUAGUCAAUAUCUUGUGGAAUCAUUACGAAGGAUGGACUUUUAUUUUUCGACGCCAAUGGUCUAUCCAUUAGCGUCGGUCCAGAUGAGAGUAUCAUUCGUGUAAGUGUUUGGGCAUAAUACACAUAUACCUGUAUACUGAAGCCCUGAGCUACCCUUAUCUACCUGUUACAUUGCGUGCCUCAGUUAAUAGAACUAUCACACGGGACCCCUGUUUAACGUCCUUCUUGGUAGACAAUUUGUAUUCAAGUGGUGUGUUUGGGAUCAAAUCUGGGUUAAGAGUCAAUUGUCUUACCAGAAUUGAUCCUCAUCACUCAUAUAACUCACCUUCUUAAGAUGUAAACCAAGUCACGGUUACGUAAGGUAAUGCUCUAGCCCCAAUUUCUCGAAACUUCUUAAGUCCCUUAUAAUAGGAUUAAGCUAAUCUCACGAUUAAUGUUGUUCUAUAAAAUGUGUUAUAUUUAUUUCUUCAAGAAUUUUUAGAAAUUAUGCAGGAAUAAUCUGUAUGAUUAUCAGAAUUAACCAUUUUUCAUUUAUCAAAAUCCAUUUUCAGUAUGUAUUUUGGCUAAUUGAAAUAAGCGACUAAAGCUUGAUAAGCUUAAGAAAUUUCGAGAAACUGGGGCCCGGUGCAUAUAUAGUAGAGGAUAUUGGCAAAGCUGUAGAUAUCGUCUUCCUGAUAGUUUCGCAGUAGUGGGCAAUCUCCGUGGUGUUCCCAAGUCAUCCAUAUCAGUUCUAGUAAACAUUUCACAUGUUACAUUGCGUUUAUUUGAGAAAUCUAUGUCCGGAGAUAUCUUAACUUGAAACAUAAAUUUAAUUUAUCUAAGUAAAGUUUGGCUUCGUCUGGAGAAGAAUUAAGUGAGUAUGCAAACGAUGUAAGCAUCGGGACACAAACCGAUAAGUCUGUUGUCAAAUAUUUGGCCUACCUAGCAAGUAGAGAUUGAAAUUGGAACCUAGCAUUAAGACCAUCUUUUGCGACGUUACAAUGAUAAACGAUACCUGAUUUUUUCAGUUACCUUAAAACUGGAUGUAUCUUGUAUCGGGUGAUAUUUUGCAGCAGGGGAUUAAAUGUUGAUCGUUAUAAUAUGAAAUAGUUAAAUUAUGCAAACAAAUUAUUUAAUUUUGUUAUUUAUCAUGCUUGGCAUCUUCAAAUUAAAUAUUAAGUGUACAAAAAUGUAAAAACUAUAUGCUAAUUUAAAACAAAUUUCAUGCCCGUAAAAUGGUUUGUGAAGAAUGAUAAAUACUUCUGCAAUAGAUAAAGAAAACUCCCAUCCGAAUGUGAUCAUAUUUCUAUCUGAUAUAAAUGAGCUGUCAGCUGUCUUUAUUCAAAUUGUCCAUAAAUUACCUCGUAAUAUCUAUAAAAUCUAAACUUAAGUGCUUACCAACAAUGUUUUCCUUGUUUGCAUUACGAAGCACAUAUUCGGAAAAGUAUCCAACGCAUUACCUUUUAAAAAAAGGUUUUCCUCCAUCCGCUUUCUUUAUUCAAAUAACAAGCAUUAAUUACCAUUUAAUGUCUACAAAAAAUCUUUAAGUGCUUAACAAAAACGUUUUCCUUGUCUGUAAUACAAAGCGAAUAUUUAGAAUAUUUGGCAACACGUUUACUUUUAAAGAGCUAGAAACUUUCCUAUUUAACGAAGAGUUCGUUAUCAUAUGCGAUUAACAAAUGUUUAAUAAUUAUUAAAUAUACAUGUAUAAAGCUGAACACAUAUGCAGGUGGGGAACGGUACUGAGUCACUUAAACAUCAAUUUAGGCCCAUAUUCAUAGUCUGUCAUGUAUGUUACAGUCAUGAGCUGCAAUUUAGGCAUCCAUCUGAUCUUAUAAUAUAUGCAGUAUUUAACAGUCAUUGAGUUCAUUCGAACACAUAUGCAGUAUGAAAUAGUCUCGAGCCAUUUAAGCAUCCAUCCUAACCUAUGUACUCGUAAUAGUCCUAAGUCAUUGAUACAUGAAUCUUAUAUCGAUGUUAUAGUAUU